CGAACGGGUGAGUAACACGUGAGUAACCUGCCCUUGACUCUGGGAUAAGCCUGGGAAACUGGGUCUAAUACUGGAUAUGACUUCUCACCGCAUGGUGAGGAGUGGAAAGAUUUAUUGGUCUUGGAUGGACUCGCGGCCUAUCAGCUUGUUGGUGAGGUAAUGGCUCACCAAGGCGACGACGGGUAGCCGGCCUGAGAGGGUGACCGGCCACACUGGGACUGAGACACGGCCCAGACUCCUACGGGAGGCAGCAGUGGGGAAUAUUGCACAAUGGGCGCAAGCCUGAUGCAGCGACGCCGCGUGAGGGAUGACGGCCUUCGGGUUGUAAACCUCUUUCAGUAGGGAAGAAGCGAAAGUGACGGUACCUGCAGAAGAAGCGCCGGCUAACUACGUGCCAGCAGCCGCGGUAAUACGUAGGGCGCGAGCGUUAUCCGGAAUUAUUGGGCGUAAAGAGCUCGUAGGCGGUUUGUCGCGUCUGCCGUGAAAGUCCGGGGCUUAACCCCGGAUCUGCGGUGGGUACGGGCAGACUAGAGUGCAGUAGGGGAGACUGGAAUUCCUGGUGUAGCGGUGAAAUGCGCAGAUAUCAGGAGGAACACCGAUGGCGAAGGCAGGUCUCUGGGCUGUAACUGACGCUGAGGAGCGAAAGCAUGGGGAGCGAACAGGAUUAGAUACCCUGGUAGUCCAUGCCGUAAACGUUGGGCACUAGGUGUGGGGGACAUUCCACGUUUUCCGCGCCGUAGCUAACGCAUUAAGUGCCCCGCCCUGGGAGUACGGCCGCAAGGCUAAAACUCAAAGGA
This 797-nucleotide ribosomal RNA is filed under the name Micrococcus sp. Its description in RNAcentral is "bacterial SSU rRNA". It matches the Rfam family "Bacterial small subunit ribosomal RNA", at positions 99 to 908 of the family's 1533-position model. Lineage: Bacteria; Bacillati; Actinomycetota; Actinomycetes; Micrococcales; Micrococcaceae. The record is from RNAcentral.